GAGAGCGUAACAGGGUUCCGUAGGUAACCUGCGGAAGGAUCAUUG
This 45-nucleotide ribosomal RNA is filed under the name Silene oenotriae. RNAcentral's name for it is "partial 18S ribosomal RNA". The record is from RNAcentral. Lineage: Eukaryota; Viridiplantae; Streptophyta; Magnoliopsida; Caryophyllales; Caryophyllaceae.